Molecule: ribosomal RNA, 253 nt
Filed under: uncultured bacterium
Lineage: Bacteria
Description: partial 16S ribosomal RNA
Rfam family: Bacterial small subunit ribosomal RNA
Source: RNAcentral
UACGAAGGGGGCUAGCGUUGCUCGGAAUCACUGGGCGUAAAGCGCACGUAGGCGGCUUAGCAAGUCGGAUGUGAAAUCCCUCGGCUCAACCAAGGAAGUGCAUCCGAAACUGCUGAGCUUGAGUACGAAAGAGGAUCGCGGAAUUCCCGGUGUAGAGGUGAAAUGCGCAGAUAUCAGGAAGAACACCUAUGGCGAAGGCAGCUCUCUGGGACGGUACUGACGCUGAGACGCGAAAGCGUGGGGAGCGAACAGG